GCUCAACCGAGGAAGUGCUUCGAAAACUGGUAAACUUGAGUGCAGAAGAGGAAAGUGGAACUCCAUGUGUAGCGGUGGAAUGCGUAGAUAUAUGGAAGAACACCAGUGGCGAAGGCGGCUUUCUGGUCUGUAACUGACGCUGAGAUUCGAAAGCAUGGGUAGCAAACAGGAUUAGAUACCCUGGUAGUCCAUGCCGUAAACGAUGAGUGCUAAGUGUUGGAGGGUUUCCGCCCUUCAGUGCUGCAGCUAACGCAUUAAGCACUCCGCCUGGGGAGUACGAUCGCAAGAUUGAAACUCAAAGGAAUUGACGGGGGCCCGCACAAGCGGUGGAGCAUGUGGUUUAAUUCGAAGCAACGCGAAGAACCUUACCAGGUCUUGACAUACCAUGAAAAGCUAAGAGAUUAGUCUUUCCCUUCGGGGACAUGGAUACAGGUGGUGCAUGGUUGUCGUCAGCUCGUGUCGUGAGAUGUUGGGUUAAGUCCCGCAACGAGCGCAACCCUUAUUACUAGUUGCCAGCAUUCAGUUGGGCACUCUAGUGAGACUGCCGGUGACAAACCGGAGGAAGGUGGGGAUGACGUCAAAUCAUCAUGCCCCUUAUGACCUGGGCUACACACGUGCUACAAUGGCGUAUACAACG
RNAcentral lists this ribosomal RNA (637 nucleotides) under uncultured bacterium. Its description in RNAcentral is "bacterial SSU rRNA". It matches the Rfam family "Bacterial small subunit ribosomal RNA", at positions 607 to 1244 of the family's 1533-position model. The record is from RNAcentral.